UGGGGUGGCAGGUAGCCUAGUGGUUAGAGAGUAGCGGUGGCAGGUAGCCUAGUGGUUAGAGAGUAGAGGUGGCAGGUAGCCUAGUGGUUAGAGUGUAUAGGUGGCAGGUAGCCUAGUGGUUAGAGUGUAGAGGUGGCAGGUAGCCUAGUGGUUAGAGAGUAGAGGUGGCAGGUAGCCUAGUGGUUAGAGAGUAGAGGUGGCAGGUAGCCUAGUGGUUAGAGAGUAGAGGUGGCAGGUAGCCUAGUGGUUAGAGAGUAGAGGUGGCAGGUAGCCUAGUGGUUAGAGAGUAGAGGUGGCAGGUAGCCUAGUGGUUAGAGAGUAGAGGUGGCAGGUAGCCUAGUGGUUAGAGUGUAGAGGUGGCAGGUAGCCUAGUGGUUAGAGUGUAGAGGUGGCAGGUAGCCUAGUGGUUAGAGUGUAGAGGUGGCAGGUAGCCUAGUGGUUAGAGUGUAGAGGUGGCAGGUAGCCUAGUGGUUAGAGAGUUGGGCCAGUAACAGAAAGGUUGCUAGAUUGAAUCCCCAAGCUGACAAGGUAACAAUUUGUCGUUCUGCCUCUGGACAUGGCAGUUAACCCACUGUUCCUAGACCAUCAUUUGAAGUAAGAAUUUGUUCUUAACUGACUUGUCUGGUUAAAUGAAAUAAUUUUUUUUUUGUUAUCUCAACCAG
Molecule: long non-coding RNA, 662 nt
Filed under: Salmo salar (Atlantic salmon)
Lineage: Eukaryota; Metazoa; Chordata; Actinopteri; Salmoniformes; Salmonidae
Description: lncRNA (ENSSSAG00000090285.1)
Source: RNAcentral